GGCGGUGUAGCUCAGCUGGCUAGAGCGUACGGUUCAUACCCGUAAGGUCGGGGGUUCGAUCCCCUCCGCCGCCACCA
This 77-nucleotide transfer RNA is filed under the name Lysinibacillus alkalisoli. RNAcentral describes it as "tRNA-Met". It matches the Rfam family "tRNA". From Rfam's summary of the family: Transfer RNA (tRNA) molecules are approximately 80 nucleotides in length. Their secondary structure includes four short double-helical elements and three loops (D, anti-codon, and T loops). Further hydrogen bonds mediate the characteristic L-shaped molecular structure. tRNAs have two regions of fundamental functional importance: the anti-codon, which is responsible for specific mRNA codon recognition, and the 3' end, to which the tRNAs corresponding amino acid is attached (by aminoacyl-tRNA synthetases). tRNAs cope with the degeneracy of the genetic code in two manners: having more than one tRNA (with a specific anti-codon) for a particular amino acid; and 'wobble' base-pairing, i.e. permitting non-standard base-pairing at the 3rd anti-codon position. The record is from RNAcentral. Lineage: Bacteria; Bacillati; Bacillota; Bacilli; Caryophanales; Bacillaceae.